GGGGUUGUGGCUCAGUGGUAGAGCGCUUGCCGGGCGCAUAGGAGGCACUGGGUUCAAUCCCCAGCACCACA
RNAcentral lists this transfer RNA (71 nucleotides) under Marmota monax (woodchuck). Its description in RNAcentral is "tRNA.Ala". It matches the Rfam family "tRNA". From Rfam's summary of the family: Transfer RNA (tRNA) molecules are approximately 80 nucleotides in length. Their secondary structure includes four short double-helical elements and three loops (D, anti-codon, and T loops). The record is from RNAcentral. Lineage: Eukaryota; Metazoa; Chordata; Mammalia; Rodentia; Sciuridae.